UUCGAAGGAUACAUGACCAAA
RNAcentral lists this non-coding RNA (21 nucleotides) under Caenorhabditis elegans. The record is from RNAcentral. Lineage: Eukaryota; Metazoa; Nematoda; Chromadorea; Rhabditida; Rhabditidae.